This 136-nucleotide small nucleolar RNA is filed under the name Echinops telfairi (small Madagascar hedgehog). Lineage: Eukaryota; Metazoa; Chordata; Mammalia; Afrosoricida; Tenrecidae. The record is from RNAcentral.
UUUCCUCUUAGAACACUUGCUGGGUCUGAUCAGUGCCCUGGGGAGCUGUCAGGGAAGGACAAAGCAAGUGACCACUGCUUUCUGGGUGAGAUGGCUGCAGGCUGUGCUGUUCGUCUCAAUCAGUGGUGUGACACGC